AACAGGAUUAGAUACCCUGGUAGUCCACGCCGUAAACGUUGGGCGCUAGAUGCAGGGACCUUUCCACGGUUUCUGUGUCGUAGCUAACGCAUUAAGCGCCCCGCCUGGGGAGUACGGCCGCAAGGCUAAAACUCGAAGGAAUUGACGGGGGCCCGCACAAGCGGCGGAGCAUGCGGAUUAAUUCGAUGCAACGCGAAGAACCUUACCAAGGCUUGACAUACACCGGAAACGGCCAGAGAUGGUCGCCCCCUUGUGGCCGGUGUACAGGUGGUGCAUGGUUGUCGUCAGCUCGUGUCGUGAGAUGUUGGGUUAAGUCCCGCAACGAGCGCAACCCUCGUUCUAUGUUGCCAGCGCGUUAUGGCGGGGACUCAUAGGAGACUGCUGGGGUCAACUCGGAGGAAGGUGGGGAUGACGUCAAAUCAUCAUGCCCCUUAUGUCUUGGGCUUCACGCAUGCUACAAUGGCCGGUACAAAGGGCUGCGAUACCGUAAGGUGGAGCGAAUCCCAAAAAGCCGGUCUCAGUUCGGAUUGAGGUCUGCAACUCGACCUCAUGAAGUCGGAGUCGCUAGUAAUCGCAGAUCAGCAACGCUGCGGUGAAUACGUUCCCGGGCCUUGUACACACCGCCCGUCAAGUCAUGAAAGUCGGUAACACCCGAAGCCGGUGGCCUAACCCUUGUGGAAGGAGCCGUCGAAGGUGGGAUCGGUGAUUAGGACUAAGUCGUAACAAGGUAACC
RNAcentral lists this ribosomal RNA (733 nucleotides) under uncultured bacterium. Its description in RNAcentral is "bacterial SSU rRNA". It matches the Rfam family "Bacterial small subunit ribosomal RNA", at positions 771 to 1501 of the family's 1533-position model. The record is from RNAcentral.